Molecule: transfer RNA, 64 nt
Filed under: Arma chinensis
Lineage: Eukaryota; Metazoa; Arthropoda; Insecta; Hemiptera; Pentatomidae
Description: tRNA-Arg
Source: RNAcentral
GAUAAUGAAGUAAAUAAUUACAUUUAGUUUCGACCUAAAAUUAGGAAUAAAUAUUCCCUUAUCU